UGUGGCUUGCUACAACCAAUCGCAUUUAUUAGAAAACAUCAACCGCAUAGCAAUAUGCGUGGUGAAUCUAGAUAACUUUGCUGAUCGCAUGGCCUUGUGCCGGCGACGUUUCGAUUGAGUUUCUGCCCUAUCACCUUGAUGCUAGUGUAUUGUACUAGCAUGGGAGUAACGGGUAACGGAGGAUCAGGGUUCGAUCCCGGAGAGGGAGCCUGAGAAACGGCUACCACAUCCAAGGAAGGCAGCAGGCGCGCAAAUUACCCAAUCCAGACAAUGGGAGGUGGUGACGAAGAGUACCGGAGAACUGAAUAUUUUUUAGUUCGUCUGGAAUGAAAUCAAUUUAAGCAAUUGAAUAGAGAAACAACUGGAGGGCAAGUCUGGUGCCAGCAGCCGCGGUAAUUCCAGCUCCAGUAGCGUGUCUCAAAGUUGCUGCGCUUAAAACGCUCGUAGUUGGAUGAGAAACUAUAUAUUAGAUAGUUAUUUACCAGAUCAAUGAACUAUAUAUUGAAUGAAACUGAAAUGCCAUUGGCGUUGAGUUGAUAUUAAUAUUUGUUUAACUGGGAAUAACAUAGAACUGAUAUAUAGUAAUUGCGUGUGAGGAUGAUCAUUAACCUUGAGUGUGUUGAAGAUCGUGUCUCACGGGAUGUGCCUUGAGUAAAUCAGAGUGCUCAAAGCGGGCGUGAUGCCUGAAUGUUGAUAGCAUGGAACGAACAAUCGUGUAGAUGUGUAUUGAUGAUGGUACAUUAUUAUCUACGAUAAUUAAUGUUACUACAAUAUGCAACACCGACCGCCAAUUACGGAUGUUGGUUCCGUA
This 811-nucleotide ribosomal RNA is filed under the name Myxozoa sp. OMsCVII 4. Its description in RNAcentral is "SSU rRNA". It matches the Rfam family "Eukaryotic small subunit ribosomal RNA", at positions 183 to 962 of the family's 1831-position model. The record is from RNAcentral. Lineage: Eukaryota; Metazoa; Cnidaria; Myxozoa.